This 354-nucleotide ribosomal RNA is filed under the name uncultured bacterium. Its description in RNAcentral is "bacterial SSU rRNA". It matches the Rfam family "Bacterial small subunit ribosomal RNA", at positions 8 to 350 of the family's 1533-position model. The record is from RNAcentral.
AGAGUUUGAUCCUGGCUCAGGAUGAACGCUAGCUACAGGCUUAACACAUGCAAGUCGAGGGGAAACGACAUCGAAAGCUUGCUUUUGAUGGGCGUCGACCGGCGCACGGGUGAGUAACGCGUAUCCAACCUGCCCAUCACUUGGGGAUAACCUUGCGAAAGUAAGACUAAUACCCAAUGAUAUCUCUAGAAGGCAUCUGAAAGAGAUUAAAGAUUUAUCGGUGAUGGAUGGGGAUGCGUCUGAUUAGCUUGUUGGCGGGGUAACGGCCCACAAAGCAACGAUCAGUAGGGGUUCUGAGAGGAACGGUCCCCCANAUUGGAACUGAGACACGGUCCAAACUCCGUACGGGAGGCA